RNAcentral lists this ribosomal RNA (253 nucleotides) under uncultured bacterium. RNAcentral's name for it is "partial 16S ribosomal RNA". It matches the Rfam family "Bacterial small subunit ribosomal RNA", at positions 524 to 776 of the family's 1533-position model. The record is from RNAcentral.
UACGUAGGUGGCAAGCGUUGUCCGGAUUUAUUGGGUUUAAAGGGUGCGUAGGCGGUCUUUUAAGUCAGUGCCGAAAUACUCCAGCUUAACUGGAGGGGUGGCAUUGAUACUGGAAGACUUGAGUGUAGUCGAGGUAGGCGGAAUUGACGGUGUAGCGGUGAAAUGCUUAGAUAUCGUCAAGAACACCGAUAGUGAAGACAGCUUACUAGGCUACAACUGACGCUGAGGCACGAAAGUGUGGGGAUCAAACAGG